GAGGUUAAACCGUGUUAUCUCCACAAAUGGCACAGGCUAGUCCUUCUACAAGCUCAUCUUCAACUGGACUUUCAUUUGCUAAGAUGGCUAGUGCUAGUGGCACUUGGCGUGUGCGUAAAACAGUAACACCCCCUCCACCAGCUCCAGCAAACGAAGAUGAAUCAUCUGGACCGCGCGCUUUAGUACUAAGUGAUGCUAUAGAAGCCGCGCUUUUGGCUACCAGCCCUACAUCAAAACCAUCAGGCAAAAAGAACAAAAAAUCCAAACAAAAGGUUCUUUUCGCAACUGGAAUGCAUCGUGCCCUUUAAAACUAUUUCCACCAGACAGAGCAAAUUGCACUUCGCUCUUUAAAAAAACAAAAUAAAAAAAAACAAUUUUAAUUUAAAAAACAUUUCGGUAAAACACACAAUUUUUGUUUAUUUUCACCAUUUUUAUAUUAAUAGUUUAUAACAUAUAAUAUGCAUUAUACGUAUCUUGCUUGUUGGUAUAUAUAUAUAUAUAUAUAUGUUUAUAAAAUACGCGCUAGUACCCAACAUACAAAGUUACUUAGUUUGCUCUCACAUUUCAUUGUACGACUGGGUUAAAGAGAAUAAAGUCAUUUAAUUACA
Vanessa tameamea is the source of this 608-nucleotide long non-coding RNA. RefSeq lists it as uncharacterized. The transcript has 2 exons. The record is from RefSeq and is a predicted model, not a curated record. NCBI's taxonomy places the organism in Eukaryota, Metazoa, Arthropoda, Insecta, Lepidoptera, Nymphalidae.